UUCAGGUAUCUAUGGUAAAUGACGUUUAGACGAGACAGUUGGUUACGAAAAGGCGCAAAUUAACCAAGAUGAAUAAAUCAAUUAACAAAUAAAAUUGAAAGGUACAUAUAGGUUGAUUAAGGAAUAAUGUAAUUGUUCUCUUUAUUGAUUUCUGCCGCCUCGCUGAUGAAUAAGACUAUCGUAUAUUGAAGAUUAUUUCAAUACUACUGGGGCAUCUUGGACUUUUACAGAUUGACUCACAAACAAGGGAGAUUGAGAAGUUCAUUUUGAUCCUAGCGAUGACAACAGGAGAUGUCUGACCUGGUAUCCUUCCUCAAUUUGGUUUGCUUUCCGCACAUGUAAACCAUGGAAUGUUACAUUCUACAGGUUCAGAUUGUCCCACAAAUGAGAAGGAAUUGCAGUUAAUUUCAGUGCUACUGAAAGAACCUAUGCUUUUGACGUUUUCAUCUUGCAACAUUAUGCAGUUAAUUUAUGCCGUAACAAUGGAAGGUAAUUGGAAAUUAAUUAAUUUGGAAGCGACUGGAAUAACAAAUUGCCUGCAGUGGUAUCCCUCCUAGAUUUGGUUUGCUCAUCACACUGGCAGACUUUAGAACGCCACUUUCUACAAGGUUAUACAACAACCGAGAGAGAAUUAAUGUUCAGUUUGGUUAUACUGAAACAGUCAAGGUCUACAUGGGUGUGGUCUUUCGUAGAUU
Agrilus planipennis (emerald ash borer) is the source of this 695-nucleotide long non-coding RNA. RefSeq lists it as uncharacterized. The transcript is spliced from 5 exons. Lineage: Eukaryota; Metazoa; Arthropoda; Insecta; Coleoptera; Buprestidae. The record is from RefSeq and is a predicted model, not a curated record.